This 2501-nucleotide unclassified non-coding RNA is filed under the name Ooceraea biroi (clonal raider ant). Its description in RNAcentral is "uncharacterized LOC105279359, transcript variant X3". Lineage: Eukaryota; Metazoa; Arthropoda; Insecta; Hymenoptera; Formicidae. The record is from RNAcentral.
UCUCGGUAAACUUCCAUACAAUCGGAAUUAAAAUAAGAAAUGACACUUGGUAUACAGUCUACACACGGGAGAUACGUACUUGCUCUUCCGACCAUUUGAACAGCUCGCACGCCUUUCCGGAAUGUGGCCACUGCCCGAAGGGAGGAGAACCAGAGCUGUUAGUUGUCACACCAAAACAAUUGUCAACCUAGAUGCGGGGGUCUCAACGGGUGUGUAUAGGGGAGGGAACUAAAUCCGUGGUCCCGAUCGAUAUGUCACGUUUUAGUAUACUCAAAAGUGUGACUUAUCUUUAUCAGAUACUCCGACCGCUUUUUGCGAUUUUCGACUUUCGAGUGCGAUUUCUCAUUGAAUAAUCGAAAAAUUUCAAUCAUGUGUAACAAUUUCUGUGCAGAAGCCGAAACAUCGCAAGAUCGCGUUGAAGACCGGAAAUCUCAAGAGAGAGAGAGAGAGAUCUCCAGCGCGAUUUCGAGCGCGGUCACGGUUGAUCUUGAUAAAUCACAAAUACGUGUUCUCGUUUUUCGCGAAAAUGCGCCGCCGUCGCUUACUGCAACGUGACCUUCGAUAGAGGGAUUUAUUAUUAAUACUGGUGUUACAACCAUUGCAUAAUUUACUUCGGUCUACUUUGGGGGCACGUCGUAACACGGAGAGAUCGGUGUGCAUCUGCACUUGGUGGACCGUCAUGUGCUCGGGAAUAUAUUAUACCUCGCAUCAAAUCGCUUUCUCAAAUGUCAGAUAUCGGUUGCAGAGUGUCGGCGUUAUUGUUGUGAUGUUGGUGAGGUGGUGUCAAAUAUGCUUGCGAAAGAGAGAGAGAGAGAGAGAGAGAUACAUAUACAUGUAAGGGGAGAAAAUGAGAUAUUUUUAGCCGGUGUGUUCGAUAAACCCUGGGCAUCGAUUAUCAUCGUCCCCUGCAAGCUGGUGUAAGCUCACAGUGAAGCUCACGUCUUCGGUGGACUUUCUUGGUUGCGUGCCGGAUUCAAUUAAUCAGCCGCAGUUAGCGACAUUGAAAAUACAAUAUAUCGCGGAAAUGGAAUUCCUCGUGCGCGCGGCCAAGAUCGAUACGUCGCGCUUAAUAACGCGCUGACGUGGAUCUUUUGCCAAGGUAUUAAAAGCGGUCCGCAGUUAGAAAUAAGAACGACGCGACAAGAACGCGCAUCGUAUCUCGUUAAACUUAACUUAAACCGGAACUUCUCUCGAGCGACGCUCGAGGCGUGCUCUGUCGAGUCUGUGCAUGUGAACUGUGCUCUAUCUUUAAAAAAUGUACUCUAUCAUUAUCUGUUUUCUUCUGUUUUUUUUAGGUGGAUGCCGAAGAUAAAAUUCGCGUACUUCGAGUAUUGACGCAAAACUUUCAAGAUGGGCAUCUGCAACCACUAUCUACCUUCGUAAGAUCGACGAUAUUGCAUGUUGGAUUAGAUCAGAGUAGCACCAAAAUUUGUUGCAGCAGCUUGAUUCCAACAACGAUUAAUUGUACAACUUAUUACAAGUAAGGGCAAAAAGACGUUUCUCGAGAAAGUAUAAAUGAAAAUUAUAACAUUAAUUCCACGUGCAAUUGUAACAUUGAUUCUAUGAUACAUAAUACAUAAUACAUGAUACAUAAUACAUUUAAGAAAACGACCUUCGCGAGAAACGUUCGAUCAAUGCAAAGACAAUGCAUACCUUUAUAUAAGAAAAAUAUACAAGGUGACUCAAAAUAGUAAUUAAUCAAUUCCGUUCAAUUUUGCAGAUACAAGAGGCAAAUGUACGUGAAAUAUACAGUAUUGGGCAACCUUGUAUACCAAACAACACCCCAGCUCCAAACUGCCGCGAUCAUCGCAGCGAGCAGUCCAAAAAAGAAACUGAGCAAGUGAGCGCGAUAAUUUGAGACUGGGGAUGAAUGAGUUAUCAAUAAAAAUCCACGUAAGCACACUGAACGACAGAACGAAUAAUCGUUAGACAGCAAGCCUGAAACAUGAUACGAGCGUACCCGCCGACUGGUGUUACGUGGCAACCACUUAACGUGAAGACAUUGAUUGUAUAUUACGGCUCGGCAACGUGCAAGAAUGCGUUUCUGCGCGGUAAGCGGCCAUUGUAUUGUAAUUGUAUAUACUUGUGAACGUGAAGCUGAACGUGUUACGCAUUAAGUUAAUUGAUCUGCGACACAUGAUUGUCCGCUCCGUUCAAUCUGCCGUGCUUGUUAAUCAGGACCUCUUCGGGCCCCGAAGGGGACCGAGGAAGAAGAAGAAGCGGCCAACAAUGUUAGUGCCAACGUAUGCUAAUAACGACUGUAUGCUGCUGCAUUAAGGAGGAGAGAGGGCGAUGCGCUCGAUAAACUCGCUCAUGUAAUGCCAUCAGCUCUAGCGAAAGCCCAACGAUAAACAAUACGAGUAUCGAACGGAUCCAAGGGGGAAGCUUGUUGAUUGUGCCGGAUGCAUUUGCGCGAACGCGUUCGUUUAUUCUGACAAAGCUGUUAAGUGGGUGUUGAUAAACGGGAUGCGAAAAGGGAUGGAAAAGGAAGCCGGUAACAG